Molecule: small nuclear RNA, 161 nt
Filed under: Salvator merianae (Argentine black and white tegu)
Lineage: Eukaryota; Metazoa; Chordata; Lepidosauria; Squamata; Teiidae
Description: U1 spliceosomal RNA (ENSSMRG00000007555.1)
Rfam family: U1 spliceosomal RNA
About the family: U1 is a small nuclear RNA (snRNA) component of the spliceosome (involved in pre-mRNA splicing). Its 5' end forms complementary base pairs with the 5' splice junction, thus defining the 5' donor site of an intron.
Source: RNAcentral
AAACUUACCUGGCAGGGGAAACACCAUGAUCAAGAAGGUGAUUUUCCAGGGUUAGACUCAUCNAUUGCACNCCAGGUGUGCUGACCCCUGCAAUUUCCCUAAAUGUGGGAAAGUCAACUGUAUAAUUUGUGAUAAUGGGAGACUACACUUGCACUUUCCCC